Molecule: ribosomal RNA, 468 nt
Filed under: uncultured bacterium
Lineage: Bacteria
Description: partial 16S ribosomal RNA
Rfam family: Bacterial small subunit ribosomal RNA
Source: RNAcentral
GACGAACGCUGGCGGCGUGCUUAACACAUGCAAGUCGAACGGAAAGGCCCUGCUUUUGUGGGGUGCUCGAGUGGCGAACUGGUGAGUAACACGUGAGUAACCUGCCCUUGACUUUGGGAUAACUUCAGGAAACUGGGGCUCAUACCGGAUAGGAGCUCCUGCUGCAUGGUGGGGGUUGGAAAGUUUCGGCGGUUGGGGAUAGACUCGCGGCUUAUCAGCUUGUUGGUGGGGUAGUGGCUUACCAAGGCUUUGACGGGUAGCCGGCCUGAGAGGGUGACCGGCGACAUUGGGACUGAGAUACGGCGCAGAAGCGUAAGGGAGGCAGCAGUGGGGAAUAUUGCACAAUGGGCGGAAGCCUGAGGCAGAAACGCCGCGUGCGGGAUGACGGCCUUCGGGGUGUAAACAGCUGUCGACUGUGACGAAGCGGGAGUGACGGUAAUGGGUAAAGAAGCACCGGCUAACUACGUG